GACAGAGGGUGCAAACGUUGUUCGGAAUUACUGGGCGUAAAGCGAGUGUAGGCGGUCUGAAAAGUCGGGUGUGAAAGCCCCGGGCUCAACCCGGGAAGUGCACUCGAAACUGCCAGGCUAGAGUAUCGGAGAGGUUGGUGGAAUUCUCGGUGUAGAGGUGAAAUUCGUAGAUAUCGAGAGGAACACCGGUGGCGAAGGCGGCCAACUGGACCGGAACUGACGCUGAGGCGCGAAAGCGUGGGGAGCAAACAGG
RNAcentral lists this ribosomal RNA (253 nucleotides) under uncultured bacterium. RNAcentral describes it as "partial 16S ribosomal RNA". It matches the Rfam family "Bacterial small subunit ribosomal RNA", at positions 524 to 776 of the family's 1533-position model. The record is from RNAcentral.